CAGUUUUUUUUUUUCUUUUCUUUUCCUUUUUUUAUCUACAUGAUUUCUUUGCUAUUUGAAAGAGAGACUUAACCUUAUGGUCAUAGAAAUUCAUUAUAAUGGGAAGCAGAUUCUUAAGAAAAUAAAAUUUGUGCCUGUAUUCCAGCUGUUAAAAUUCCAUUUCAAAUGCUGAAAAAAAUUGUUUCAAAAGAGCCAUCUUCCAGAAAGUAAUUCACAUAAUCCCUCUAUUUAGGAAUAAAUAUUGAAUUCAGUAGAAUCAAGUAAAUAGUAGUAAACUUGAUAACACAUAAAGCAUUUAAUACUUGUGUAGUGCUUAGUAGUUAUGCAGCACAUUUCAUCGUCAAAAUGCCUUAGCAACAGUAAGUAAGGUUUCUUGUCAAUACUCCUAUAAAGAGAUAGGCAAGCAUUACUAACAGGAAUCUGUCUCACUUAAAUCCCUAGCACCUAUUUGGGUCUACCAUUUUAUAUUUAUUUGUUCCCAGAAGAAAAUCUAACUGCUUGUGUAAUAAAAAUUCAUGUUAUUUACCUCCACCACUGAUUUCUUUGGACAGCUGGUUCUGCAAGCCUGCCUCUGUGUGGUUUCCUAAGUCAUGCGACACAAACUCAAAGGCCAUGACAUACUGUACCUGUCAGAGCCUGUACCCAGUAAAUGAUUCCUAAUAAUCUCGACAGAAUAUUGGUAAUUCCCUUGAAACAUAAAUGUUCUUCCUGAUUACUGGAGCCCAUUUCAAAUGAUUUAGGUUAAGAUUUUAGUUCUUUUUUUGCUGAAUGACAGAGUUACUAUUUUUGCUCUUAUUUUUCUUGUUGGGAAGAGUGUUUAAAUUUGAAUCUUUUAGCCCUAUUUUUCCCCUGACUUUCCAAGUAUAAUUUCACAGUGUCUGCCAUCUGAAGAUGUUCUAGUACUCUGAAACUUUACUCAAAGAUGAUGUAUAAGUACAUUCAGAAUGAACAGUGCAAUAUUAGAAAAAUUUAAGAAAGAAUUUUAAGUUUAUCCAUUGAUAAAGCUGAACCUGAAACACUAACAAGGACUUAUGUCUCUAUGGCGCUUUUGUCAUUUCAGAAUUUGCUCAGAUUAUUGUGUUUCUCAAGGUAGCCAUUUGAUAAUGCGUUUAUCAAUUACCCCUUAUUGGUACAGGAAGAAACCAAAAUUCAGAAAUGUGAAAUGAAUCCCUAAAAUGGGACUUAAAACCACAACUUCUGAUUUCAAGUGCAAGUCUCUACUCCCAAUUUUACACCAGUGGUUUCCACCUUUUGACUCAGAAUCCACUGGAGGAGGGAGAUUGGGGUGGAGCCUGGAAUCACUGUUUGGAAGCAGGCAUUGUGUGAUGUGACAUUUCAUGUCUUAUGUGUACUAUUGGUUUUAGUUAUAUGGGGGAUAAAAUACAAAUUCACUGAGAAGCAUUACUGAAUCAGUAAUGGUUUACUUAGCCUUUAUGUAUUUUCUUAAUAAACAAAUACCAGACUUACUGUCUCUAUCAAGUGUAGCCUGGAGUUUAAUAGCUGCUAUCUCUGAAAUCAGCCAUUGUCGAUGUCAAGCAAGUUCCUUGACCUCUCCAUGCCUCUAUUUCCUCAUCUGUAAAAUGGAGAUAAUGCUCUAGUUCAAAGCAUAUUGUGAAAAUUAAGUGAAAUAAAUAAUACAUGAGAAGUACUUAAAACACUGUCUAGCAUAUAGCAAGUGCUCAGUAAUUGUUAAAUAUUAUUUUUAUCAUUAAAAGUGUCAUUAUGAUCAUGGGUAGGUCCAUAGAAUGUUGUGAUUUUAGAAAGAGGUUUUCUUACUUCAAAGAUGGGAACCAGUUUUCCUUCUGAUACUGUUGUGGGCCUCAUUAUUUUGGUUAAAAUUGGCCAAUACAAUUGAGCUAUUUCACAUUUUUCUGUGACUUAAAAACUCAACUUUAAGUUACAACAUGACUCGAGAUUAGAACAUAGGACUUCCACAAUGGAGAGAGAAGGCAAACAAAAUCAAAUGGGUGUGCUCAGGCCUCACAUCCUUGGAGUAGGACCACCAGGACUCCACCCAGAGUGUUCUCUGCAGCCUGGAAGAUCAUGGGCCUCAUCCUUUUUUAGCUUUCAUUUUCAGGUCCAGAGUGUAGUGCAAAUCACUAUGGGAAAUCUUGUAAAGAAGAUUAAAAAUGGGGGAAGAGCAAACUGGCCUCUAAGCAUCUUGCUAAAAUAAACCACUUCUUCCUAAGCUCAAGACAGCAAGAAAGAGUUUAAGAGCAUUGAAAUAAAUUCACCACCUGUUUGUACAGCAGAAUCAAAGAGUUCUAGCAAACAUAAGAAUGCUUUGAUCCUUUGCAACCAGAAGAAAAUUAUGAAGCUCUUCAUUGAUAGUUCAUGGGGAGUUUGGGGACACUGAUCAAAGAAAACUAUUAUUAUAGACUGGAAAUUAAAAUAACCUGAAUAUAAGCUACUUCGGUACAUUAUACUUCUUUCAAUGGUGAAUUGCAUAUUUAAAAAUUCAAAGGCCCUGCUUAUGAUUAAGUUAAAUGUUAUUGUGACUUCUAUGCCAUAAUAUAAAAAAAAAAACCACUAAAAUGUUUUUAAGCAACUGUGUUCCUCUUGUUAGUGGCUUUCCAGUUACAUAGUUGAGAUGGGCUGACGGGGGCAGUGUGCAGUGGAGAUUUGAUAGAAUCCCUCCAGGUUAUUGUAAACUCAAUUGAGCAGAAUUAUAUAAAUGAGAGAAUGUUUUGGCAUUGUUUUAUAAUCUUUAUGAAAAAUUCCCAUAAGUUUUUCAAUCGUAUAAUAGCAUUAUAUGAUUACAGAGUCCACUUUUUCAAUAUUGUAAUUAUAGAGCUGAGAGGCUUGAAGAGAAAGAUAGCCAGACUUACGGAAGGGAACAGGAUAUGUUUGUGGGUAUUUUAUUGUGAGGACUUGGACAUUUGAAAUGGAAAACAUGAGAAUCAUUUGGAAAUUUGGUUGUGCUCUGGGAGAAAAUGCUUCUGUGUGAGUAUCACAAGAAGCAGAAAGAUAAAGUUAAGUGUAUUUUUUGAAUGAGGAUCUGGAUAUUUUCCUGUAGAUUUUUUACUUAUCAAGAAAAAAGAAUACUUAAUUUAAAUGUAUUUUUAGCAUGUUCUGGCUCUGAGCCAGACUUCAUGAGUAGUUAAUAGCUCCUGCCUCUGAAGUCAUCAGGAAGCAUUUAACAAAAUAUGUAGUAAAGCGCUUUCGAAAUAAGCAGGCUUAAGGAUGUGGAAUCAAAGAGGGAAAAAAAAAAAAAAUCCCUACAAAAGAGGACAUCUCAUUAAAAAAAUGUGUUGAUUAUUGCAAGAAAGACAGGAGGAGAGGCAGAUCCCAACCUUGAGACCAAUUCCUUCUAAGCCCAAAGCCCAGCACUAGAUAUUUGCACUUAACUAGGGCUACCCUCCCAACCCCCAUUCUAUGCCAGCUUCCUCUUAAGAAGGUGAGAAAAUAAUAGUGCAAAGACCCACAAAGGAAGCAGUACAAGAGUAGGGGCAAAACACUUUUCAGAAGCAAAAUCAGCGGGUCUUUCGGUGAUCCACACUUUAUUGAAAAACACCAGACAGUGGAGAUUUAGUCGGUCUUGGGUAUUCAUUUCAAACUAGUUUCUGAGAAACUUCGCUGAAGAGGAAGAAGAGAGUUUGUUAAUUUUUGAAGUGACCUACUGUGGAGAUAGCCUGUAAUCUUAGGCCUGCAUCUCUGAUUUACACCAGGAGUUCGGACAGAAAUCACUGAGGGCUCUUCACCUUGCUAAGUGUCUCUGCAAGACAAGGCUGACACCCUGUUCCCUGUCACUCAGCAGGAAUGUCUAAAGGAAAAAAGUGGUGAUAGCUGCAGAAGUGCUUUGUGCUCUUUUUCUGAAACUAAAUUCUACAUGCUGUUCUGAGCUCAUAAAUAAGUAAGAUACCUGCUAGGCCAAUGAGUAGCAUACAAAGGAGCUGUUGUACGUCUCUGGCAUCAUCAGCAAUGCCUUGCUCUGCGGGGCACUAGUGUCUUAAGAACUUCCCAGUUCAGUCCUUAGAACUAAAAGAUGUGUGCUGAUUGGAACUCAGGGAUCUGUUUUAUCUUAUAUUAAAGCAUGCCAGCACUGACUUCAGAUACAUGUGUUAUGAAGUAACAUUUGUAUUAGUCAAAGCUGAGAAAUUUAAUUAAGAAUAAUGUCUCUUGUUUUUUUUUUCCCCAUGGAAGUAUUUACAGGACUGAGCGAUUUGAUGACUAAUGAACAUAUUUAAAGGGCAUCUGGUACUGAUCAUGGAAACCAAAAAAUAAAGUAAAAUUUGUUCCUGUUGGCAACUUGCUAUUCCAGUAGAAUCAUAUGCUGAAUGGUACUCCUGAGAUUUUUUUAACAUAAAUAUUCUAUAGUUACCCAGCCAAUUUUCACUUGCAAGGGGAAAAUACUUCAAAUUGGCUACAUAUUAAAAAAAUGAGUCCCAAAUAAAUCCACGUGCAGAAAAUACCACUCAAUUUGGUAUGCCUUGGUAAUGAAGAGAUCCUUAAAAAAGAAGGAAGGAAGGAAGGAAGGAAGGAAGGAAGGAAGGAAGGAAGGAAGGAAGGAAGGAAGGAAA
Molecule: long non-coding RNA, 4520 nt
Filed under: Canis lupus familiaris (dog)
Lineage: Eukaryota; Metazoa; Chordata; Mammalia; Carnivora; Canidae
Description: lncRNA (ENSCAFG00000052916.1)
Source: RNAcentral